CUUGCCUUCACCUACUCAACAUGGCAUCUUAUUGGCUGGUUUGCGUAGCUUGCUUACGAGGGAGGAUGUUUCAGUUAGAAUCGUCCCAGUGAACAAGCACCAAACCAGCGGUAAGUUGUUGGUUGCAAAGCACUGUACGUCAAAAGUGAUUUUUAUACUCCCAAGUGAUGAUUUAAAUGUACAAUUUAUAUCAAUUUGUUUGUAAAUGUUAUUCGAACAUCACACAUAAGAUGCAGCAUUGUUUGGUGAAUAUUUGUUGUGCAAUUUGUUGUAGAGAAUUCCAGCUAAUACUAGCUAGCAACUUACUGUGUUGUAUAUUUUGUACAGUGCGUGAGUGCAGAGUUAGAUGGUGAGCCGUGCAUUGCAUGAUGUGCAAUUUUGUGCUGUUCCAAUCAGGUACAUUGUUAAAGAUAUUAUAUUGUAUAUUGUAAUUGUAUUAUUUUGGUAACUAUAUUGCUCAGUGAACAAGCACCAAACCAGCGUGCGUGAGUGCAGAGUUGGAUGGUGAGCCGUGCAUUGCAUGACGUGCAAUUUUGUGCUGUUCCUAUCAGAAUAAAGCUCCAUGACUGGUGCUACAAGUUGGAGUUCGUGUCAAUGAUUGAUUGUACACAAGGCAAGAAGAGUACUGUUAUACAUGGAUUGUUUGGCACUGAACUGAAAGACAAAGGGAAUUCAGACUGCUGCAUAUCACGCUACACCAUCAAGGAAACAGAGAAAGCAAACUGUUCAGAUGUAAUACUGUAUAUUUGUAUCAAGUCACAGAGGAAAAGAACCAUCAUGAAUUCCUUUCUUUGUAUGAACAUGUUUAUAUCUUUUCACUGGACUUACUGUAAAUAAAUACAAAUUGACACAUUGAA
Salmo salar (Atlantic salmon) is the source of this 857-nucleotide non-coding RNA. Lineage: Eukaryota; Metazoa; Chordata; Actinopteri; Salmoniformes; Salmonidae. The record is from RefSeq and is a predicted model, not a curated record.